This 279-nucleotide microRNA precursor is filed under the name Gossypium raimondii (Peruvian cotton). Its description in RNAcentral is "miR8711 stem-loop (gra-MIR8711)". Lineage: Eukaryota; Viridiplantae; Streptophyta; Magnoliopsida; Malvales; Malvaceae. The record is from miRBase by way of RNAcentral.
UUAAACAAAAAUACUACACUAAGGGCACUAGAUCCCAACAGUCUCACACAUGCAUUGAUGAAGUAGAUGAGCCAUAGUUCACAUUACCAUACUCUCUAUAUGUUUCCCCAUUCUCUUAGCCACCAGAGUCUUGGUAAAACAAAUAUACAAGGUUAUCCUCAGAUGUAGUUUUGACUACAUCCACUAUUCUAUCAAUUUCUAUCGUCUCUCUUAUGACACUUUCUAUUAAUGUGUUGUGUCUUCAUGUGGUUUCUUUGGUGUUUAGCUAUUUUUGCAUUG